UGUUGUCAUGUUGCCUUACAUGUCUUAAUCAAAGAUCAUGUGUCUAAACUCAGCUCCAGGAUGAACACACCAGGAGAGAAGAAGCUGGGAGACAAGUUCAGAGGAAGCAACAGGAGCUGCAGAAGAAGACACAAGAGUUUGAGAGAAACCAGGCUGAAACCAUCAAACAGCUCCAGGUGCAGACACAGUUAAAGGACAGAGCUCAGAGUGAAGUGCAGACCCUGAAGAAUCAGCUGGAGACCAAGAAAACAGAGCAGGUUUCUGACCAAUACUCUGGGAUUGGCCGUGGAUCAGGGAGCAGCACGGAGCCUCCACAGAGUGCUGGGUCCUCAUACUCACGAUUUUACAGCUGAACUUAAUGUGUUGUCUUUUUCCAACACAUUGGACUUUAACCACACAAUGGGACCAACUGCAUGUCACCACCAUCUGCACUGCUGGAGAUUUCCAUCAUCACCUGACAUCACACACUGUAACAAGUAACAUCUAAUCCUGAUUAACACUGAGAAAUGAGCAUAAAGAAAGUUAUUGUCUGUAGCAGUGGUUCCUAACUGGUCCAACCACAGGGUUCAAAGUCCACACAGUUUAAUAUAUUCACUGUCAUUCUUGCGUUUGAACAUGUUGUGAAGCCAGCUGGCUGUCUCUGUCAGGUAGCUGUCCAUUGUUCACUCACUCUACAGCAGGAAAUGGCCCUCCAAAAUAAAAUCUCUGCACCAGAUGUUCACUUUAUUUCAAAACUGCUGGACCACGACCCACCAGUUGGGCACCACUGAUCUGAAAUGAUACAAGCUGAAAUGUAAAAUUUGACCAUAAAAAAACUGAUGUAUAUCAAAAUGUUAAACUUUGAAUGUGCAUAUCUCAUGCCCCGUAUGUGGUAGAGACAUGAAACUUUGCACAGAGAUGCCUCUCCUCAUGAGGAACACAUUUGCCUCAAGAACCCAUAACUUCCGCUUAUAU
Epinephelus moara (kelp grouper) is the source of this 954-nucleotide long non-coding RNA. RefSeq lists it as uncharacterized. The record is from RefSeq and is a predicted model, not a curated record. The transcript has 3 exons. Lineage: Eukaryota; Metazoa; Chordata; Actinopteri; Perciformes; Serranidae.